Molecule: ribosomal RNA, 253 nt
Filed under: uncultured bacterium
Lineage: Bacteria
Description: partial 16S ribosomal RNA
Rfam family: Bacterial small subunit ribosomal RNA
Source: RNAcentral
UACGAAGGGGGCUAGCGUUGCUCGGAAUCACUGGGCGUAAAGGGCGCGUAGGCGGCCGUUCAAGUCGGGGGUGAAAGCCUGUGGCUCAACCACAGAAUUGCCUUCGAUACUGUACGGCUCGAGACCGGAAGAGGUGAGUGGAACUGCGAGUGUAGAGGUGAAAUUCGUAGAUAUUCGCAAGAACACCAGUGGCGAAGGCGGCUCACUGGUCCGGUUCUGACGCUGAGGCGCGAAAGCGUGGGGAGCGAACAGG